UCCUGACUGACCGAUAGUGAACCAGUACCGUGAGGGAAAGGCGAAAAGAACCCCGGCGAGGGGAGUGAAAAAGAACCUGAAACCGUGUACGUACAAGCAGUGGGAGCACGCUUAGGCGUGUGACUGCGUACCUUUUGUAUAAUGGGUCAGCGACUUAUAUUCUGUAGCAAGGUUAACCGAAUAGGGGAGCCGAAGGGAAACCGAGUCUUAACUGGGCGUUAAGUUGCAGGGUAUAGACCCGAAACCCGGUGAUCUAGCCAUGGGCAGGUUGAAGGUUGGGUAACACUAACUGGAGGACCGAACCGACUAAUGUUGAAAAAUUAGCGGAUGACUUGUGGCUGGGGGUGAAAGGCCAAUCAAACCGGGAGAUAGCUGGUUCUCCCCGAAAGCUAUUUAGGUAGCGCCUCGUGAAUUCAUCUCCGGGGGUAGAGCACUGUUUCGGCAAGGGGGUCAUCCCGACUUACCGACCCGAUGCAAACUGCGAAUACCGGAGAAUGUUAUCACGGGAGACACACGGCGGGUGCUAACGUCCGUCGUGAAGAGGGAAACAACCCAGACCGCCAGCUAAGGUCCCAAAGUCAUGGUUAAGUGGGAAACGAUGUGGGAAGGCCCAGACAGCCAGGAUGUUGGCUUAGAAGCAGCCAUCAUUUAAAGAAAGCGUAAUAGCUCACUGGUCGAGUCGGCCUGCGCGGAAGAUGUAACGGGGCUAAACCAUGCACCGAAGCUGCGGCAGCGACGCUUAUGCGUUGUUGGGUAGGGGAGCGUUCUGUAAGCCUGCGAAGGUGUGCUGUGAGGCAUGCUGGAGGUAUCAGAAGUGCGAAUGCUGACAUAAGUAACGAUAAAGCGGGUGAAAAGCCCGCUCGCCGGAAGACCAAGGGUUCCUGUCCAACGUUAAUCGGGGCAGGGUGAGUCGACCCCUAAGGCGAGGCCGAAAGGCGUAGUCGAUGGGAAACAG
Molecule: ribosomal RNA, 955 nt
Filed under: Shigella sonnei
Lineage: Bacteria; Pseudomonadati; Pseudomonadota; Gammaproteobacteria; Enterobacterales; Enterobacteriaceae
Description: partial 23S ribosomal RNA
Rfam family: Bacterial large subunit ribosomal RNA
Source: RNAcentral